AGUGAACGCUGGCGGUAGGCCUAACACAUGCAAGUCGAACGGCAGCACAAUAAGAGCUUGCUAUUACGGGUGGCGAGUGGCGGACGGGUGAGGAAUACAUCGGAAUCUACUUUUUCGUGGGGGAUAACGUAGGGUAACAUACGCUAAUACCGCAUACGACCUACGGGUGAAAGCAGGGGAUCUUCGGACCUUGCGCGAUUGAAUGAGCCGAUGUCGGAUUAGCUAGUUGGCGGGGUAAAGGCCCACAACGGGGACGAUCCUUAGAUGGUCUGAGAGGAGGAUCGGCCACACUGGAACGGAGCACCGGCCCAGACCCCUAGGGGGGGCAGCAGGGGGAAAUUUGGGAAAAGGGGCGAAACCCUAUCCAGGCAAUCCCGGGUGAGUGAAGAAGGCUUUCGGUUUGUAAAGCCCUUUUGUUGGGAAAAAAAAGCAGCAGGUUAAACCCCCGCGGUACGGAGGGUACCCAAAGAAUAAGCACGGCCUAAUUUCGU
Molecule: ribosomal RNA, 491 nt
Filed under: uncultured bacterium
Lineage: Bacteria
Description: partial 16S ribosomal RNA
Rfam family: Bacterial small subunit ribosomal RNA
Source: RNAcentral